RNAcentral lists this long non-coding RNA (1124 nucleotides) under Triticum aestivum (bread wheat). RNAcentral describes it as "long non-coding RNA (TAES_LNC026910)". The record is from RNAcentral. Lineage: Eukaryota; Viridiplantae; Streptophyta; Magnoliopsida; Poales; Poaceae.
CAGUCCACCACUCACCACCGCCGCCAAAGCCAGUCCACCACCACCCACCGCCUCCUCCUGCCCCGCAUCCGCAUCCAAUGUGCCCCCCGCCGCCGCCCUGUGCCUGUCCGCCACCAGCAUUGCCACCGCCGCCACCCUAUUACCCCGGCACAUUGCCACCUGUGUCCCGUGCAGAAUAUGGAUCACCACCACCGCCACCCUAUAACCCCAACCCAUUGCCACCCGUCACCUGGGCAGAAUAUGGAUCACCGCCACCGCCUUCACGGCAGUGAUACACAUAGAUUCUCCAAAAAAACAUCGUCUGAAGGAAGACAUGGUUUUGCUCUCCCUCCUUACCUCUGUCCAUGGAUAGCAAGCUCACCAAAUUUACGUGGUCAUUGUCAUGCUUAGCUGCUAGUGUUCUUGAUUGAUGGCUACCGGCGUGAAGAGUUAGUUGUAAGGUGGGCGGAAUUUUCUGGAUUAUGAUUUGUCGCCUGCGCAUCGAGACGAUUUGUGUUGCGGUGUUGAAAGGGAUUGGCGAAUAGGCCACAGAUUGAAGGCAAAUUGGGUUGUGAAUAAUAAGAGUUCGAGAGGGACAGAAGAGGAUUUGUGAGUGAGUGAGUGGAUUGUAGGUGCAGCAGGGAUAUAGUAUGCGGGGUGUAUAGAGAGAAGCAUGAGUUCAGUUCAAUUUAGUUAAAUUCAGUCAGACAUAAGUUUAGAACAAGAGAUUCAGAGUGUUAUUUCUUCCUUUUGUAUCCCAGUUACUUCUUGGUUAUUCGAUUAUUAUAUUAUUUAGUCAGCAUUUUUUUAGCUUUCUUCUUUUGUUAAGUGUUCUAGUCCAAUCACUUUGACGAAUUUUGUCAUGUCUUUCCUGUUCCGCUGAUGUGUUUUGUGAUGGUACUUGUUUCUUGUGGAUCACUGCUGCAGGUGACUUGCACUUUGCCAGAGUAGCAAGAUUGGAAACAUAUUCUGCUCUGAAUUAUUAGGGGAAAACACCUGCUGUUAUGGUUGCACUAUGAGGAUUUAGCCUGUGCCAUCGAACUUCAUCCGGAAAAUUAUUCUAGAAUUAGUCUAAUACGCCUCUGUAUCAAAAUUCUAGAAUCCUUCUAAUACUCCCUCUGUAUCAGAAUGUAAGAAGUUUUUUG